RNAcentral lists this long non-coding RNA (404 nucleotides) under Homo sapiens (human). Its description in RNAcentral is "HSALNT0239378". The record is from RNAcentral. Lineage: Eukaryota; Metazoa; Chordata; Mammalia; Primates; Hominidae.
UGUCGCUGACCAGCAGCUGUCAUCCCUUAUGUGACCCUGCUCCCAGGUAACAGUGUGUGUGCAGGGAUGAACUCAUAACCUCCCUGGCCAAUUGUGCCUUUCCUUGGACACUACUGAGUUGGGCCUCACCAGGAGGAGUGGUUUCUUCUGUGGGCAAAGCUGUGAAGGCAAGAGUCUGGAAACUGAGAGAAGACAUCUUCCUCCACCACAUGGAGAAGAUGCUCUGUGAUAAGAAUCGGGACCACAAACUGGGAAGCAGCUCUGAGGGGCAGAGAGAUCCUCAAUGCACUUGAGUUCCUGAUUCCAGUUCUAGGAGAUAGCAGAAAGAGAAUGAUGGGAUUUGGACAUUAGUCACACUUUGUUCUACCACUUCCUGACUAUAAAGGAUAUUGGCAGUGAUCAGA